Molecule: ribosomal RNA, 892 nt
Filed under: Neonectria sp. P.deltGP1
Lineage: Eukaryota; Fungi; Ascomycota; Sordariomycetes; Hypocreales; Nectriaceae
Description: LSU rRNA
Rfam family: Eukaryotic large subunit ribosomal RNA
Source: RNAcentral
UAUCAAUANGCGGAGGAAAAGAAACCAACAGGGAUUGCCCUAGUAACGGCGAGUGAAGCGGCAACAGCUCAAAUUUGAAAUCUGGCCUUCGGGUCCGAGUUGUAAUUUGUAGAGGAUGCUUUUGGUGAGGUGCCUUCCGAGUUCCCUGGAACGGGACGCCAUAGAGGGUGAGAGCCCCGUCUGGUUGGACACCGAUCCUCUGUAAAGCUCCUUCAACGAGUCGAGUAGUUUGGGAAUGCUGCUCUAAAUGGGAGGUAUAUGUCUUCUAAAGCUAAAUAUUGGCCAGAGACCGAUAGCGCACAAGUAGAGUGAUCGAAAGAUGAAAAGCACUUUGAAAAGAGAGUUAAAAAGUACGUGAAAUUGUUGAAAGGGAAGCGCUCAUGACCAGACUUGGGCUUGGUUGAUCAUCCAGGGUUCUCCCUGGUGCACUCUUCCAGUUCAGGCCAGCAUCAGUUCGCUGCGGGGGAUAAAGGCUUUGGGAAUGUGGCUCCUUCGGGAGUGUUAUAGCCCAUUGUGUAAUACCCUGUGGUGGACUGAGGACCGCGCUUUUGCAAGGAUGCUGGCGUAAUGGUCAUCAGUGACCCGUCUUGAAACACGGACCAAGGAGUCGUCUUCGUAUGCGAGUGUUCGGGUGUUAAACCCCUACGCGUAAUGAAAGUGAACGCAGGUGAGAGCUUCGGCGCAUCAUCGACCGAUCCUGAUGUUCUCGGAUGGAUUUGAGUAAGAGCAUACGGGGCCGGACCCGAAAGAAGGUGAACUAUGCCUGUAUAGGGUGAAGCCAGAGGAAACUCUGGUGGAGGCUCGCAGCGGUUCUGACGUGCAAAUCGAUCGUCAAAUAUGGGCAUGGGGGCGAAAGACUAAUCGAACCUUCUAGUAGCUGGUUUCCGCCGAA